UACGGGGGGGGCAAGCGUUGUUCGGAAUUACUGGGCGUAAAGGGCGCGUAGGCGGCCUUCUAAGUCAGACGUGAAAUCCCUCGGCUCAACCGAGGAACUGCGUCUGAUACUGGAAGGCUUGAAUCCGGGAGAGGGAUGUGGAAUUCCAGGUGUAGCGGUGAAAUGCGUAGAUAUCUGGAGGAACACCGGUGGCGAAGGCAGCUCGCUGGGACGUGACUGACGCUGAGACGCGAAAGCGUGGGGAGCAAACAGG
This 253-nucleotide ribosomal RNA is filed under the name uncultured bacterium. RNAcentral describes it as "partial 16S ribosomal RNA". It matches the Rfam family "Bacterial small subunit ribosomal RNA", at positions 524 to 776 of the family's 1533-position model. The record is from RNAcentral.